GCUGGGCGUGGUGUCGCAGGCCUGUAGUCCUAGUUACUCAGGAGGCUGAGACAGGAGAAUCGCUUGAACCCAGGAGGCAGAGGUUGCAGUGAGCCAAGAUCGAGCCACUGCACUCUAGCUUGGGUGACAGAGCGAGAUUCCGUCUCAA
Unclassified non-coding RNA from Pongo abelii (Sumatran orangutan), 148 nucleotides. It matches the Rfam family "Metazoan signal recognition particle RNA". Rfam says of the family: The signal recognition particle (SRP) is a universally conserved ribonucleoprotein. It is involved in the co-translational targeting of proteins to membranes. Lineage: Eukaryota; Metazoa; Chordata; Mammalia; Primates; Hominidae. The record is from Ensembl.